UGAAUAUCUGUACUAGUUCUUUCGGCAUU
RNAcentral lists this small RNA (29 nucleotides) under Bombyx mori (domestic silkworm). RNAcentral describes it as "ovarian small RNA-31094". Lineage: Eukaryota; Metazoa; Arthropoda; Insecta; Lepidoptera; Bombycidae. The record is from RNAcentral.